Trifolium pratense (red clover) is the source of this 2080-nucleotide long non-coding RNA. RefSeq lists it as uncharacterized. The record is from RefSeq and is a predicted model, not a curated record. The transcript has 9 exons. NCBI's taxonomy places the organism in Eukaryota, Viridiplantae, Streptophyta, Magnoliopsida, Fabales, Fabaceae.
AGACAUUAUUUGACACAUAAAUAAAAUUGGGUUGGGUCAUCACAAUUCAAGCCCAGAUGAAAAGAACCUCCAAAUCACCACCUAGUCAUGAGACAGAGGAUCGAAAUCCCUAGUGUAGUUAUAAUGCCAUGUCCUGCCGCUUGAGAUACUCAUUCAUAGUAACAGCGAUAAAAUAAAAAAUGGACCUAGAUUCGUUAAUCUGAAGGCACUUCUCAGUGAGACGGUGGUUCUUGUUGUCACGUUACAUUCGAAUUCGAUUAUGCUACAAACGCACACCAUCUUUCCUGCUUCUAAGUUGAAUUUGGAUCCAGCAUGUCCAAUUAUCCACCCUACUCCAGAAAAUAUUUUGACCACGAUAACGCUAAGUUUCCUCACCGUUCUUUCUUCAAGGUUAUUACUCGGAGCUUCCUCACCAGUAACCGGAAGCGUGAUUGUAUUAGCUGUAGCACCGGAAAGUUUCUCUUCUUGAUAUUGAUCUUUGGUGUAGCAUACCUUAUGCUGACACAUGAUACAAUUCCAAGUCGUGUAGUUUCUCGAGAUCAAGUAUUUGGAAUUAGAAAGAAUGAAGAAAAUGAGGGAUUACUCUCCGCAGUUGCGCAUGGACAAUAACUUUGGUCUUAAAAAAGUCCACAUUUGUAUAUAUAAUCAUUUAAUCAAAGUUUCACCGCUACAAAGUUUCUGUGUUCCACUUUUCGCCACCGGAUCUGCCAUGACGGCCAUUUUCUGCUGCCCGUGAUAGACCAGCCACAGACCUGAUGGGAAUAUUUUACUACUUUAAAAUUUUAAUUAAAAGGGACCGUUUGAGGAAGCAUCAAUGCAAGCUAGUGGACUUCAAUUUUAACAAAGGUUAUUACUCGGAGUUUCCUCACCAGUAACCGGAAGCGUGAUUGUAUUAGCUGUAGCACCGGAAAGUUUCUCUUCUUGAUAUUGAUCUUUUGUGUAGCAUACCUUAUGCUGACACAUGAUACAAUUCCAAGUCGUGUAGUUUCUCGAGAUCAAGUAUUUGGAAUUAGAAAGAAUGAAGAAAAUGAGGGAUUACUCUCCGCAGUUGCGCAUGGACAAUAACUUUGGUCUUAAAAAAGUCCACAUUUGUAUAUAUAAUCAUUUAAUCAAAGUUUCACCGCUACAAAGUUUCUGUGUUCCACUUUUCGCCACCGGAUCUGCCAUGACGGCCAUUUUCUGCUGCCCGUGAUAGACCAGCCACAGACCUGAUGGGAAUAUUUUACUACUUUAAAAUUUUAAUUAAAAGGGACCGUUUGAGGAAGCAUCAAUGCAAGCUAGUGGACUUCAAUUUUAACAAAGGUCAUUGAGGUGGACAAGUUUACUAUGAUGUGUCGUUGUGAUCUUCCUGCCCGUGAUAUCUUCGCGCCUACUUGAUCCUGUGUUUGUCUACCCAUCAACAAUCCUUGGUAGGGAGAAGGCUAUUGUUGUAAAUCUAGAGCAAAUACGGUGUAUUAUUACAUCAGAUGAAGUUCUUCUGUUGAAUUCCCUUGAUAAAUAUGUAUUACAAUAUCUGAUUGAUCUCCAACGACGGUUGACAACAACUGGCGGAAGCGAGGUGGGCGAGGGCUCUUGAAGUUUCCGUGGAGGCGGCAUGCACAUUUCUUGACACCCAGUUCUAUUGCUCCUCAUUGUAGAGCAGGGGAAUGCUUUUGAUUGCGAAGAAGCCAAGACAUCACUAUUUCCCUGUGGGAUAUUCCUCAUUGGUGCUGAUAUAGAACCUUCAACUACUUGUUGUAGUGGUGUAAACAAUCUGAAAUCUUCAACACCCACCGUAGCUGACCGACGUGCUGCCUGUGAAUGCCUUAAAGAAGCGGCUAGUCACUUUCCUAACAUAAGAGAAGACUUGGCUGCCUCACUUCCCCAACUCUGCUGUGUUGACAUAAAUUUUACCAUAAACAAAAAUAUUAAUUGCAAGAACAUUUGUUGAAUUCCAUGGAGAAAAUAGCGUGCUGAACGGGAUGGACGCUUCUACAAAAAUAAUACAGUACAUCCUGUAAUAUACUACUAAUAUGUUCUAUUAUAUAUUGUUUAAAAUUUAAAAUUUGAUAUUAAUAAAAAUUAACAAUUACAUGAUUUA